GGGCUCCUCCUCCCACAGAGUCUUGGCUAAGGUCAAACACAGGCUGCAGGCCCUGGAAAUGAGCUCCUUGAAGACUGCAGGGAGGGGGGCUCCUAACCCACGUAUACAGAGAAGAUUGACUCUUAAAUGGGACCACAAGUUAAACCCAGGGUGACAGCAGUGUGUGAUACAGUUGGAAUCCUGGAAGCAAUCCUGAAACUGCCUCUGACAGUUGAGAAGAUAGAAUUCUAUCCCUCUUCUGAGUAAUUUCUUCUGCAGUCUCUCUGUUGGGAGCCAGUCUUGCUGAACAUUGAAAUACUGCUCAGCCCAUUCUGCAUCGUGGACCAUCUAGGCUUCCGGAAACUUUCCAAGCUGAAAACAUUCCAGACAUUCCUUAACACAACGGUCCUCAAAAGGCUGGUUUCUUCGGAUCCCGCAGGAACACUGGCUGCAUGGUUGUAGUCCCCGCUGCACAAGCCCUGCCUUAGCAGACACCGGGCUGGGGCUGCCUCCCCUCUCCUCUCAAAGGCUUGCUGUGCUCGGCCGGGAGUUUGUCCAGCUCGCGCUGAGCGGGGCGCCUGAGGACACUGGGACCCUCGGUAAGGAAGCCUCCGUCCACCAGGCUGAGCUUGCAGCAGCACAGUGAAGCUACACAAGAGAGAAGCAGAGGCAGAGAGAGAGAGAGAAAGAGAAAGAAGAGGACUUCCAUCUGCUGGUUCACUCCCCAGAUAGCUGCAACGGCUGGAGCUAGGCCAAUCCGAAGCCAGGAACUAGGAGCUUCUUCCAGGUCUCCCAUGGAGCAGCUGGGACUUGAACCUGCGCCCAUAUGGAUUCCAGUGCUGCAGGCAGAAUAAGUUUAGCCCACUGUGCCACAGCACUGGCCCUGAUGUUAAUUCUGUCUAUCUGUAUCUCUCUAUGCCUCUCAAAUAAAUAAAAAUGUCACAUAAAUAAAAUUUUA
Long non-coding RNA from Lepus europaeus (European hare), 937 nucleotides. RefSeq lists it as uncharacterized. NCBI's taxonomy places the organism in Eukaryota, Metazoa, Chordata, Mammalia, Lagomorpha, Leporidae. The record is from RefSeq and is a predicted model, not a curated record. The transcript has 3 exons.